AAUCAAUUGAGGCAAUUGCAAAUAUUGAAUUGCUCUGGAUGUAAAAGUUUAAUAUUGCCUUCUUUGACAGGUUUGACCAGUCUGCAGAGUCUUAGGCUGGACUACUGUAAGAUUUUCGAAUUUCCCAACAGUAUUGGCUCUCUAUCCUCACGGGAUAGAUUAAGAUUUCGUAGGAAUGGUUUCAAGAGCAUACAUGAAAGCACUAAACAACUUCCUAAGCUGUGGAGUCCUGAUUUAAGAGAUUGCAAGAGACCUAAAGUUUUACCAGAGUCUUCAUUGUCAUCUCUUCAUUAUUAUUUAUGUGCAUCAAAUUGCACGUCUUUGGCAUCUGCACCAAUUUUGUUCCUACUUCAAGUGAAAAAUGGCCCUCGAGGUUCGGUUCGCUAUUUACAAUUCGAAAAUUGCAUCAAUUUAUAUGAAGUUUCAUGUAAAAAUAUUAUGGAAUGUGCAUUGGCAGCACAACUUCAGUCAAUGGUCAAUAACUGUCGUGUUAGUUUGCGAAUUGCCGGAAGUAAAGUGCCGCGGGGGAUGAGGUAUCGGAAUAGUAAUGGAUCUUCUUUGUCUUUCUCACUUGACGGGCCGCAUGACUUGAUGGGGUUCUCUUUCUGCGCUGUCCUUGAUCCUAAAAUUCAUCCUUUUCCCAAAUUUGCGACUAUUUAUUGUGAGGCCCUUUUCACAGACGAGUCUACACGAAAUUCAUGCGAAGCAUUCCUUGAGUCUUUCUAUGGAAGCGAAUCCCAAUCAGAAAACGUGUUACUUUGGUCUACACCAAUCACAAAACGUGACAUUCUGGAUUCCAUAGACCGUAUCUGCAAGGCCUCAUUUCAGUUCUUCGUUCAAUAUUAUGAUGGUGGGAAUCAGGAAAUAAGCGAGGAGUUGAUAGUUGAAUGUGGGGUUCAUCCAAUAUUCAAACAUAAGAGGAAACCAAGAGGGAAGACGAAAGACGAAGAAAAGUAAACUCUCUGUUUGAACUUGCUUUCCUUCGUUUGUUCAGUUUUCUGUCUCUUCAUGGAUUUGCUUUGUCUUUUAACACGUUGAAAACCUGCGACAUCGUAGUCUGAGGAAGAAGAACCCAUGCGGCUUCUGGGGUUCAAGCGCCAUUUCUGACGCCAUUAGAGCUCAGUGCGAGCUUCCUCGUCUCCUCCGAAAAUUCCUAGUUGCACCAAAGUAUAUACACCCAAGCAAUAAGAGGACUCAUCGGAUCCACCAGUUAUUCAAUGGUGGUGCAUGCAAGAAGUUCUGUGUCUCCUCUAGCCGUCGAUAAGUCCUCUGCUAACCAAAGUUGUGGCCAGCAAGCCGACAAUUGAACAAAGAGAGGUGUGAUACAGAGAGGUAAUAUAUCAGAUACAGCUUCCAGAACCUGCAAUAUUAGGUAAGUGAAGCUUGAACAUCAGAAUCAUGCCAUUAUAUUUACACGGGGAGAAGGAUUGCAAACAAUAAAUAUGAAUCGGGUACCAUAUUUAUAAUACAUUACAUUGUAAAUUAGAAGAAAUGCAACUUCUUACAGAAACUGAAUUGAUUAAAAUAUAAUAGGAUGAAGAAGCCGUCAAAUUAAGGAACUUGUUCAAGAAUUUCUUCAAAAGCAUGAUGGAUGCCCAACAAUAUUUGGAAUGAGCGAGCAUCUGUUCACUCUCAGGUACUUGUAGCUCGGAAACUGGACUGUAAUAGCACUGCUGCUUGUAUAUUAACAUUUGUGAUAUGCAUUCGUCGCGGUGUUUCUUUUGAUCUGUGCAGUGUUUCACUCAACCUGCAAUUCAGCAUUCCAGCCACGCACACCUAUAGCAGCUCUGCAAUUAACAACCACAAAACGCAGGUCCUCAGAUCAUGUUCUGCUCGCAUGCUCAUAGCCUUUGGAUGUAUCUGCACUUGCAACAAUUGCCACUACUUUUUCCAUGUCUCAUGUUGUCAAUUGCCUCAACAGAUCACUCACCCAUUUGACCAUGUUCACCCAGUUGCAACUACUUUCUUCAUAUCUC
Molecule: unclassified non-coding RNA, 1976 nt
Filed under: Hevea brasiliensis (rubber tree)
Lineage: Eukaryota; Viridiplantae; Streptophyta; Magnoliopsida; Malpighiales; Euphorbiaceae
Source: RNAcentral